UACGUAGGUGGCGAGCGUUGUCCGGAUUUACUGGGCGUAAAGAGCGCGCAGGCGGUCGUACAAGUCGCGUGUGAAAGCCCCCGGCUCAACUGGGGAGGGUCACGCGAUACUGUUCGACUCGAAGGCAGGAGAGGGAAGCGGAAUUCCCGGUGUAGUGGUGAAAUGCGUAGAUAUCGGGAGGAACACCAGUGGCGAAGGCGGCUUCCUGGCCUGUUCUUGACGCUGAGGCGCGAAAGCUAGGGUAGCAAACGGGAUUA
This 257-nucleotide ribosomal RNA is filed under the name uncultured bacterium. Its description in RNAcentral is "partial 16S ribosomal RNA". It matches the Rfam family "Bacterial small subunit ribosomal RNA", at positions 524 to 780 of the family's 1533-position model. The record is from RNAcentral.